GUGCCCCUCUCCCACUGGUACUGUCUCUGUCUCUCAAAAUAAAUAAAAACUUUUAAAAAAUGCUUCGUUAAAACCAAUAAUACUCUGUUUUUAAGGUUCCAUUUGCAUGUUGAAUGCCGCCCACACAUGACAGCAGGUUGGGAAAUUACACUCUUGUGCCACAAUCAAUUAGCUCUCAUUUCUCAGUCUCGUUCAUCUGGGUUGUGGAGAGGAGCAGGGACAUCAUCUUUUGGUGAGGCUCUGAGUUGCUUGUGAGGUCACAGGACCACAGGACCAGCGCCGUUUUCCCUCACCACCGACAGUGAUCCCAGGAGGCACCGGAUGCUCGGAAGUGGCCCUUCUAGGCAAUCAGUCAGCGACUAUUUGAUUGAUCAGCAGUUUACUUUUAUCUGCCAAAUGAGAUUUUUUUCUUCCUUAAAACCUAAAGGGUGGCAACGCCAGUCUUAAGGAAUUUUGUCGUCCCGUUACCUGUUCAUUUCCUUUUCUUUCAGAAACCCUCAGCAUUUUCUUAGUCCUGAAACUUAAGCUUGCAAGCUCCUGGACCGUUGAGAAGUAUUCCCCUUCUCCAGAAUUGUCGUGGGAAUCAUUGCCGCGAGGCUUGCCCUCCUGUCUCCGCUGCUGGCCUUGGAGAAGGAGACUGCCAUGAAUCCUACGGCCGCAGGAGCACCCCCAACCAAGCCUCUGACGGGAACCCAACCCCGGUGGGCACCCCUGUUACCGCCUCUCUGACCUCAGACAAGGACCCAGCUCAGAGCGCCUGGACUUCUGGCCCAGAGACACUGGGAGGAAAGAGCUCGUGUAACUGAAACACAGACCAAGGAAAUGAACAGAGAAGAGGAAAACCAAGAUGUUCAACAAUAUCUGGAAAGAAACGCAGCCUUACCAAUAACCGACGAAACACAAGUUAAAUUAAAAUUUAAUUUAAAUUUAAGUUUAAAUUAAAGAUUAACCGGAUUAAUUGAUUGAAGCUAGUGACGGAGCCCUCCGUUCUGAGGAUAUGAGGACGCGGACGCUCAUGCACACAGUUCACAGGCUGGGUCACUAUUUGUGUAGAAAUGCAAAUAUGACCCUUGGAUCCAGCGGGCUAGAUUGUAGAAAUCGACCUCAUAGAAGUACCCAGGCAGGAAGCGUCAACGUACGUGAAGGGAAGUUAUUCGAAGCAUUGUUUAUAAUUGUCCAAAAUGUGAACCACGUUCCUAUCUUUAACUCAGUAGUAAAUUGGUUAAGUAAAGUACGGUACUUCCCUAUAUUGGAACAUUGAGCAGAUUUAAAAAACAGUGAACCAGAACUGUAUGUGCUAUAAACACUUAAAAAUGUGGAAGGGUAGCCGUUCAAAUGAAAUUUGAAUAUUAGACAACAAAGGGUAAAGAGCUUUAUUAUAUAUAGCUUCUACUAUAUAUAUUGGCAAUCAUAUAUGCUUAUAUCCAUACAUAUCUAUGUCAAUAUAUAAAAAAUACUUUUGUAUAUUCAUAGAAGAUUUAUAAAAGGAUACACAAGAAAUUGAUAAAACUUCCUAGAAAGAACAGUGGAAUGGGGGAAUUGGAGGGAGAUGAUUUCUUACUAAAGUGAUACGGUUGUCUUUCUAAACAAUGUCAAACGACCCUACAGAUUCGUAACGAACACCAGGCUUAUGUGUGUGUUAAAGGUCUCCAGUUAAAGGCAAUUUAAAAAGGAGAAACCACCGCUGAAGAAACAAAACGAAAGGGAAGAAAGCAUGGAUUAGCCAACUCAAGUAGCCACAUAAGCACAGACAUACUUACCUUCCUCGUUUGUGAUUCUUAUGAACACAAUACCGUAGACCUUUCAUGAUAUUUCCAAGGUAAUAGACCAUCUGUGCUGACUUAGGGGACAGCAGGCCAGGUUCUGGGGGACUGCCCAGCAUGCAGCCUUUGUCAGUACUUUGGGUAUCUCUCUUUCACGUUAACAAGCAGCGGUGUUUUCUUUGUGGAAUUAAACUCCGCGAAAAUCUCUUUGCAAGCAGAUUUGCGUCUUGAUGACAAUCUGUGGAUGACUUGGGCUGAGGCACGCCGAUGGAGUGUGUGGAUCUCCGGGGAAACUUCCAGCAGAUACGCAUCAGUGCAGCCACAUUCUUCCAGCCUUCACAGCCGUCAGGGCGGUGUCUGACCGUCCUGACAGCCGCCUGCCUCCAGCUGAAGGCGCACGGCGCCUGCGUGUGCCUUUCGCGGCAGUUCAUGGGUUACGAUCACGCUCCCGCCUGCCUCAGUUUCUCUGGUGGGUUCCUGAAGACACAGGAACUUUACCUCUUCUUGUAAAAAUGUUUUAAAUAGUUUUUUUUAAGUUUAUUUAUUUUGAAAAGAGAGUGCAAGCAGGGUAGAGGCUGAGAGAGAGAGAAGAGAGAGAAGA
Molecule: long non-coding RNA, 2364 nt
Organism: Leopardus geoffroyi (Geoffroy's cat)
Lineage: Eukaryota; Metazoa; Chordata; Mammalia; Carnivora; Felidae
Exons: 3
Source: RefSeq, a predicted model, not a curated record